This 493-nucleotide ribosomal RNA is filed under the name uncultured bacterium. Its description in RNAcentral is "SSU rRNA". It matches the Rfam family "Bacterial small subunit ribosomal RNA", at positions 26 to 524 of the family's 1533-position model. The record is from RNAcentral.
AGGACGAACGCUGGCGGCGUGCUUAACACAUGCAAGUCGAACGAUGAUGCUGCAACUUGUUGUGGUGGAUUAGUGGCGAACGGGUGAGUAACACGUGAGUAACCUGCCUUUCACUCUGGGAUAAGCCUUGGAAACGAGGUCUAAUACUGGAUAUGACUUCUUGCCGCAUGGUGGGGGGUGGAAAGCCUUCGGGUGGUGGAUGAUGGACUCGCGGACUAUCAGCUUGUUGGUGGGGUUGUGGCCUACCAAGGCAAUGACGGUUAGCCGGCCUGAGAGGGUGACCGGCCACAUUGGGACUGAGAUACGGCCCAAACUCCUACGGGAGGCAGCAGUGGGGAAUAUUGCACAAUGGGCGAAAGCCUGAUGCAGCGACGCCGCGUGGGGGAUGAAGGCCUUCGGGUUGUAAACUCCUUUCGCUCGUGACGAAGCCUCUUCGGGGUGACGGUAGCGGGAGAAGAGCACCGGCUAACUACGCGCCAGCAGCCGCGGUAAU